UUUUGAGGGUAUCCUUCUGUUUGCAGAUUUUGAGACCCUCGUGUACUUCUUUUCUAAGUUGUAGUGUGUAACUACUAUGACAUCAUGCCUUUUUGUGGGAGCAUGUUCAAUCAUAGGUAUACCUCUACUGGUACUGUAAUUAUUUCCAGGCUUCAAUUGUUUAGAUAAGCAAUUACCAAUCUCGUCAUUUUGAUUUUACAAUACAAUUAGAAGAUCAAUAAUGUUUACCUGAAUGGACUCAUAUCCUCCUAGGUACUUGGAAAGCUGCUUUUGAAAUAUGGUUCUUGAAGUAGCUCGUGUGUCAGAAAAUUUAAAAUGCUAUAUUGUACUGAGCAUGGAAAAGUUGUAUCCACACGACCUGCUAAUUGUCAAAUCAAGGCUUCAGAUAAAAGAAAUACAUUGCUUACUGUCGUCACCACUAGAUGUUGGUAGAUGGUUUCAGUGCGUCGAAAGUGAUGUUGUUGUGUUACUUUCAGCAGGAGAGAGACAGAGUAUAUGAUUUCCAAGUUUGAUGUGAGAUGACAUCAGGCCAUUUGUGAAUGCAUCGCCAUUUGAGAUCCUGGUACAUUUAUUUAGUUGAUAUUAAUAGUGGAGAUGCUGCCACCUGUGCUGUUAGUUUGAUGUGAGAUGACAUCAGGCCGCUUGGCUCUGAAUUAUUGAUAUAGUUCUGUGAAAAAAAAUUGACUACUAAUCAAAAUGUAGUUUCUAUUUGCAUUACGAGAGGCUAAUGUUGAUGCAAAAAUGUUGAGGCUAAUUCUUUAUGGUUUGUGUGCAGAUGAAGAGAGUUUUGGAGAAGACUGGCUGUUGAUUUGUAGCACAACAAGUUGAACAAUUCUAUUCAUCUGCUCAGGAAAAGUGGUCUGAUAUCUGAAGUCACAAUUAGAUCGAAGAUGACAUCAUGGAUACAAUCAUGGAUACAAGUUGGUGGAUGAUGCGUUCAUUAGAAACAAAAUCUCACUAAUUGAUAAAGUAAUUGCCCUCUACGAGGUAAUUGAAUCUUCAUUGUUACACGUCAAGCAGCUAGAAAAGUCUUUACUGGGUACAUGCAGCUUCUAUCAAGUUUUCGUUCAUUGAAUUGGUUUUGUUACAUAAAGUGAAUCUAAUCACCGAUUCUUUUGAUUUGCCAAUAACCUUACGAUUUCACUACAGUAACCUUACGAUUCCACUCAGCAACCUGCCCACCACAGCUAGGAGUUUAUUGCAAUUUGCAAAAAGUAUGUUUUCAUGCCUUGUGACAUAAGUAUUCAAUAGUCACGGUAAGCAGAAUAGUGAAACUUCUAGACGAGUGGUUUGACAUUUCUUGUUAUCACAUUGGUAAUUGUAUUUAAUUAUAGUGUUUUCAUUCGGUGC
Molecule: long non-coding RNA, 1350 nt
Filed under: Setaria italica (foxtail millet)
Lineage: Eukaryota; Viridiplantae; Streptophyta; Magnoliopsida; Poales; Poaceae
Description: long non-coding RNA (SITA_LNC003730)
Source: RNAcentral